RNAcentral lists this microRNA (22 nucleotides) under Gallus gallus (chicken). RNAcentral's name for it is "gga-miR-12211-3p". The record is from miRBase by way of RNAcentral. Lineage: Eukaryota; Metazoa; Chordata; Aves; Galliformes; Phasianidae.
UUAGAGGACAAUGGCCAAUACU